UACGUAGGGAGCAAGCGUUGUCCGGAUUCAUUGGGCGUAAAGCGCGCGUAGGCGGCCUUGUAAGUCCGUUGUGAAAGUCAAAGGCUCAACCUUUGAAAGCCGAUGGAUACUGCAGGGCUAGAGUCCGGAAGAGGCGAGUGGAAUUCCUGGUGUAGCGGUGGAAUGCGCAGAUAUCAGGAGGAACACCAAUGGCGAAGGCAGCUAGCUGGGACGAUACUGACGCUAAGGCGCGAAAGCGUGGGGAGCAAACAGG
Molecule: ribosomal RNA, 253 nt
Filed under: uncultured bacterium
Lineage: Bacteria
Description: partial 16S ribosomal RNA
Rfam family: Bacterial small subunit ribosomal RNA
Source: RNAcentral